RNAcentral lists this long non-coding RNA (230 nucleotides) under Panax ginseng (ginseng). Its description in RNAcentral is "long non-coding RNA (PGIN_LNC015387)". Lineage: Eukaryota; Viridiplantae; Streptophyta; Magnoliopsida; Apiales; Araliaceae. The record is from RNAcentral.
AAACAUUUCUAUACUCAUCUGCCUUCACAUUCAGCGUUGAACCUCUUACACCAGGUUCGAACUACGCAGACUUGAUCUCCUCUUCAAUAGGAGUACGUAGGCAGCCAUUUAUGGUUCAGUCUAACCCCUACUAGAACAAAAAUACUUGUCACACGGUAUUGGGAUCAACCUUCAAUCCACCACAUUACAUCGGCUUCAGACCAAGGGGAUGGAAUUACCCAACCUCUCCU